CUGCGAAUGGCUCAUUAAAUCAGUUAUCGUUUAUUUGAUAGUACCUUACUACUUGGAUAACCGUGGUAAUUCUAGAGCUAAUACAUGCUGAAAACCCCAACUUCGGGAGGGGUGUAUUUAUUAGAUAAAAAACCAACGCCCUUCGGGGCUUCUUGGUGAUUCAUGAUAACUUUACGGAUCGCAUGGCCUUGCGCCGGCGACGGUUCAUUCAAAUUUCUGCCCUAUCAACUUUCGAUGGUAAGGUAUUGGCUUACCAUGGUUUCAACGGGUAACGGGGAAUUAGGGUUCGAUUCCGGAGAGGGAGCCUGAGAAACGGCUACCACAUCCAAGGAAGGCAGCAGGCGCGCAAAUUACCCAAUCCCGACACGGGGAGGUAGUGACAAUAAAUACUGAUACAGGGCUCUUUUGGGUCUUGUAAUUGGAAUGAGUACAAUUUAAACCUCUUAACGAGGAACAAUUGGAGGGCAAGUCUGGUGCCAGCAGCCGCGGUAAUUCCAGCUCCAAUAGCGUAUAUUAAAGUUGUUGCAGUUAAAAAGCUCGUAGUUGAACCUUGGGUCUGGCUGGCAGGUCCGCCUCACCGCGUGUACUUGUCCGGCCGGGCCUUCCUUCUGGAGAACCUCAUGCCCUUCACUGGGCGUGUUGGGGACCGGACUUUUACUUUGAAAAA
Molecule: ribosomal RNA, 667 nt
Filed under: Phaeosphaeriaceae sp.
Lineage: Eukaryota; Fungi; Ascomycota; Dothideomycetes; Pleosporales; Phaeosphaeriaceae
Description: SSU rRNA
Rfam family: Eukaryotic small subunit ribosomal RNA
Source: RNAcentral